This is a long non-coding RNA of Bos taurus (domestic cattle), 2432 nucleotides long. NCBI's taxonomy places the organism in Eukaryota, Metazoa, Chordata, Mammalia, Artiodactyla, Bovidae. The record is from Ensembl.
GCAGCCGUUUAGGAAAGCGCCCCUUCACCCGGUUGCAGCAGCUCCGUGGGUCGGGGUGAGAACGCACCCCUCUGCUGCACGUCGUUGGGGGAUGUUCCGAGGCCAGAGCAGGAGUCACGUGGGACCCCAACGCUGUGUCGCUGCGCAGAGCACCACGUGGCUGUCACCCCCGCGAGGUGCGGGGACAGAGCUCCGAGGGAGAGGAGGUGUCCCGGAGGGAGGAAACAGCAGGCGCUCACCCUCGGCUUGUUGACACGGUGCUUCCCAGCCCUGCAGGCUGAGGGGCUGCCCUGGUGAACGUGAGCACCCAGACUGGUUCCGGCUCUGAGCGGCAGCCCCCUCCUGGGAGGAAACGUCCUGGAAGGAAGGAAGGCAUGGGGCAGACCAGGAACCACACAGUGAUGGGGGCUCUCCAGGACAUCAGGCAGAGGGUCCCCCAUGGUGAGAUCCAGUGAGAUGACCUCCUCAAGAGCCCGGAGGUGCAGAGCGCACCUGGUGGGCCCGGGGUGGGGGCUGGCUAGAAAGGGCAGCAGGAGGGGUCUUCAUGGUGGCGGGCGGUCUGGACCCCUCACCCCUCGGCCGCGGUGGUGGCUGCAGGAGUCCACGCCCAAGGCCACGUGCCCCCAGGGCUGGUCUCCGGGCACUGAUCUUGGGUGAGACGUAAGCACCAGGAAAUCAUGUGGAGGGCACAGGGACCCUUUUGCUGCAGUUUCCUGGAACCUCUUACUGUUUCAAAGUCAAAAGCCUCAGCAGUCUCCCCCAGCUCAGUCUGGGAAGACCUGGGCAGUGAAAAGAAGGAGCCGUUGAAAUCCGGCGUCCACACUUGCCCUCGAGGGCAAAGAAGACCAAGACGUCAUACCUGUCACCGUGGGAGGGGACAUCUGCCCCACAAACUUGGUUUUACUAAGUGGCAGGAUUAAGCAUCUCCGCCCCCAUGGACACUGCGCUUCAGGGCCCCCAGUGGCUCCACCGAAAGGGACAGCAGGCCAGCGGACGGGACAGAAGCGGACGGGACAGGGCGGUUGGAACAGGGCGGUUGGACAGCCUCUGUGCCCGGGCCCUGAGUGCGGCGCCGACUCGGGCCAGGGCCAUCGGUGGGCUCAGCUGAAAGUUGGGAGCUGACGGUUCUCAACGAUGGUGGAGCGUCAUCCCGCAGGUGGCUCAGAGGUGACAGGGACCAGGAAAGGUGUGCUCUGCCCGUCACCCUUUCCCGCAUCUCUCAGUCUCCGCAUCCCCCGAGAGGGACACCGGGGCCUGAGGGGUCCCCUGCGGGGGAGAGCCGGGCUAACCUGCACAGAAAGGUUUUUCCACUAAGAACACAGAGUCAGCACCGAGUGAAGCGUCCGACCCGUGCCGCCCAGGCAGACCCUGGCUGGGACGUAGCUGAGGCUGGAGAGCGCACCGCCCCCAGUGCUCGGGUGAGGCCCCUGCCCCUGUUCGGGGGCCCCUCCUGGAGGCCUUACGUCCUGCUCACAGGCUGCACUGGGGAGCCAGGCACAGGCAGGCGGUGCCCACGGAGGCGGGGCCCGAGAAGUGCCAGCACCACCCCCAGCGUGUGGGCCUUGAUGGUGCCGAGCAAACCUGCCGCAGAGAUGUCCGGGGACAUUCACGUGUGGACUGGGCGUGGCGUGACUAAGGGGUUCUCGGUUCUGUCCGCGCAAUCGUGCGGGCUGUGUCUUCGUGUCUUAGUUUAGGGCAGCGCGGUGUGAGGUCCCUCAUGGAGUCACCUUUGGCCGAAACAGCAGAUGAAGCCAAUCAAGCACGCUCUCGUCACAUCAGAGCCACCGGCGUCUGUCCCUAGGUCAUCCUCUCUACCUUCCCGUGUGCGAGACUCUUCACGAUCUGAUAUUCUUUGUAACAUGCCACCAGGGAAUCCUCUUGUCUUUAUUUUAUUUAUUUGCUUAUCUUUUUGGCUAUGGCCGCACAGCAUGCAGAGUCUUAGUUCCCUGACCAAGGACUGAACCCACGGCCCCUGCAUUGGAAGCAUGGAGUCUUCAGCACUGGACUGCCAGGGAGGUCCUUCACCCUCUUGUCUUUAGUGGAGACCAUGAGCCCUUUGCCAGCUGCAAAGGACAGUGGGGAGUAGGGGCUGGCCCCGGCUAGGGUGCCUGCGGAAGGUGUGGGGCCCAGGGGGUUCCCCACCCCACCGCAGCCUGGUCAGGGUGCCUGCGGAAGGUGUGGGGCCCAGGGGGUUCCCCGCCCCACCGCAGCCUGGUCAGCAGAGUCCUUGCUGUCCGCUUUGCAUUUGGCCUUUGUACCCUCACAAGCCACAGCAGAACCUUUUGGAACAAGAUGGGGUGAAAAACUUUUUUUAACUUGGAAAGUAUCAAUUCACUAGUAAAAUUUUGUUUCUUUCAUGUGUGUGUAUGAAACCUCUUUCCAGCUUUAAGAGCCAGAGUUGUCUUCCUGGAUGGGUGUGUGCUCAUCUGCUU